Cucumis sativus (cucumber) is the source of this 551-nucleotide long non-coding RNA. RefSeq lists it as uncharacterized. The transcript has 2 exons. Lineage: Eukaryota; Viridiplantae; Streptophyta; Magnoliopsida; Cucurbitales; Cucurbitaceae. The record is from RefSeq and is a predicted model, not a curated record.
UGAUAUUGGCCGCGUGGCGUUGGAGAUCAAAGAGAUGGAAGAAGAGGGGACGAAAGAGGAGAUGCGAGAUGAGUAAGAUGGAGAUGGCUGCUACUGAUGGUGGGUUUAAAGAAACAAAGGAAAAAUCAUUCACCUAUUAGCUUUAUUAUAUGAAUGGGUCUGUGCUUAAAGAAGUAAAAUUCCUACUGCAGAUCAAGCACGAUGGAUUUUCUUUUACACUGAUGUGGUUUUAUCAAGCAUUUCCAAGCUUCUUCUAAAGAAUCAAAUUUGGUUGAAAGCCUCUGUCUCUUGCAACACGUAUACAAUAUACCAUUAUCAUGAAACAGACACAUUUAUUAAUUCAAAACGAACUUGUAACAAAUAAUUCAUAAUUUCUGUAAGCUAAUUUAUAGGGGAAUGGGAAUGAUGUUAAGAUGCAUUCUGUACUUAAACCGUUUAACCUAGUAUAUAAAAAAUGAUCGAGUAUAAGUGAUGUAAACAAACAAUGGGAAGAUUGUUAUCCUAUCAAUUGGCACAUUUUGCAAAAGAAAUCAUAUAACUGUCGGUGAAAA